GACGAACGCUGGCGGCGUGCUUAACACAUGCAAGUCGAACGGUAAGGCCCUUCGGGGUACACGAGUGGCGAACGGGUGAGUAACACGUGGGUGAUCUGCCCUGCACUUCGGGAUAAGCCUGGGAAACUGGGUCUAAUACCGGAUAGGACCCUGGGAUGCAUGUCCUGGGGUGGAAAGCUUUUGCGGGGUGGGAUGGGCCCGCGGCCUAUCAGCUUGUUGGUGGGGUGAUGGCCUACCAAGGCGACGACGGGUAGCCGGCCUGGGAGGGGGACCGGCACCACUGGGACUGGGAUACGGCCCAGACUCCUACGGGAGGCAGCAGUGGGGAAUAUUGCACAAUGGGCGCAAGCCUGAUGCAGCGACGCCGCGUGAGGGAUGACGGCCUUCGGGUUGUAAACCUCUUUCAGCAUCGACGAAGCGAAAGUGACGGUACCUGCAGAAAAAGCACCGGCUAACUACGUGCCAGCCGCCGCGGUAA
RNAcentral lists this ribosomal RNA (478 nucleotides) under uncultured bacterium. Its description in RNAcentral is "partial 16S ribosomal RNA". It matches the Rfam family "Bacterial small subunit ribosomal RNA", at positions 28 to 523 of the family's 1533-position model. The record is from RNAcentral.